CUACGGGCGGAAGUUGCGUCACAGAAGCGCCAAAAAAGAACUUAGAAGACUGGAGUUAGGUUUCAGACCCUGUUGUGGCUGCCUGAAGUAGACCUAUUCGGCGACCCACUGCAGCCUCAGUGGAGAAGCCGAGGUCCCCGAGCAGCUUUGACGUACAAUCCUUGGCCCCUCCCGGGGACGUCAGAGAAAACCCCACAGUCUUUGCUACUACAAUCAACAUUGGAUCAAUUCAUACCAUAUAAAGGCUGGAAGUUUUAUUUUUCUGAAGUUUACAGUGACAGCUCUCCUUUUAUUGAGAAGAUUCAAACAUUUGAAAAUUUUUUCACAAAGCGUAUUGAUUUAUAUGAUAAGGAUGAAAUAGAAAGAAAGGGAAGUAUUUUGGUGGAUUUUAAAGAAUUGACAGAGGAUGAUGAAGUAGCUAAAUUGAUACCGAAUGUAGCAAAUGAAUUAAGGGAUACACCUGAGAAAACCCUGGCUUGCAUGGGUCUGGCAAUACAUCAGGUAUUAACUAAGGACCUUGAAAGGCAUGCAGCUGAGUUACAAGCCCAAGAAGGAUUGUCUAGAAAUGGGGAAACAAUGGUAAAUGUGCCACACAUUCAUGCAAGGGUAUACAACUAUGAACCCUUGACACACCUCAAGAAUGUUCGAGCAAACUACUAUGGAAAAUACAUUUCUCUUAGAGGGACGGUUGUUCGUGUCAGUAAUAUAAAGCCUCUUUGUACCAAGAUGGCUUUUCUUUGUGCUACAUGUGGAGAAAUACAGAGUUUUUCUCUUCCAGAUGGAAAAUAUAAUCUGCCCACAAAGUGUCCUAUUCCUGCCUGUCGAGGGAAGUCAUUUACUGCUCUCCGUAGCUCUCCUCUCACAGUUACGACGGACUGGCAGUCAAUCAAAAUCCAGGAGUUGAUGUCUGAUGAUCAGCGAGAAGCAGGUCGGAUUCCACGAACAAUAGAGUGUGAACUUGUUCAUGAUCUUGUGGAUAGCUGUGUCCCAGGAGACACAGUGACUAUUACUGGAGUUGUUAAAGUCUCAAAUGCUGAAGAAGGUUCUCGAAAUAAGAAUGACAAAUGCAUGUUCCUUUUGUACGUUGAAGCAAAUUCUGUUAGCAAUAGCAAAGGACAGAAUACAAAGACUUCUGAGGAUGGAUAUAAGCCUGGAACAUUAAUGGAAUUCUCACUUAAAGACCUUUAUGCCAUCCAGGAGAUUCAAUCUGAAGAAAACCUAUUUAAACUCAUUGUCAACUCGCUUUGUCCUGUCAUUUUUGGUCACGAAGUAAGUAUUUUACUUCAUCUUUACUCAAAAAUACAUAAAUUCAGCAAAAAUAAAAUAUAAAGGUUAAAAAUAGUCAUUCCUGGUGGCCCCAUUAUUUAUAUCUUUUUUUUUUUUUUUUUUUUUUUGUCUUUUUAGGGUUGCACCUACAGCAUAUGAAGUUCCCAGGCCAGGGAUUGAAUCAGAGCUGCAGCCUGUGGCACAGCUCACAGCAACACUGGCUCCUCCACCCACUGAGCAAGACUAGGGAUGGAACCUGUGUCCUCAUGGACACUAGUCAGGCUUGCCACCACUGAGCCAUAACAGGAACUCCCCGUUAUUUAUAUCUUAAUAUGAAUCAUUAUUCUCCAUAAAUGACUGGUAUGAGAGGCAAAUUACAGCUCCUUGUAAGGCAGAGCUGCUUACCAAUUAGAGUUAGUAGAAAUGGGCUUCUUUUAAAGUGACACUGGACACUAAAUGUUAAAGUAGGAACUAAUAAAUACUUCUCAGCUUUGUGGAAUGGGUUUGUAGGUCUUCACUUGGUGACUUUUAAGUUACCUGAUUUUUUUUUUUUUUUUCCUUUCUUUUUGCCUCUUCUAGGGCUGCACCCAAGGCACAUGGAGGUUCCCAGGCUAGGGGUCUAAUCAGAGCUGUUGCUGCCGGCCUACGCCAGAGCCAUAGCAACGCAGGAUCCAAGCCUCGUCUGCAACCUACAGCACAGCUCACAGCAACACCAGAUCCUUAACCCACUGAGCAAGGCCAGGGAUCGAACCCACAACCUCAUGGUUCCUAGUCGGAUUCAUUAACCACUGUGCCACAACGGGAACUCCUUUAUAUGCUUUCUAAUUUUUGCCUUUUAACCAUUUACAUUAAAGAAGUUUAUAUUUUUAGACUUAUUUUUCUUGGGGAAAAAAAAAGCAAAGUUCAAUCAUGCUUUAAAAAAAAAAUUCCCAAACGUUGAAAAUAUAGAAGGAGGAGCACUUCUUUUGCUUUACAGUCUUUACAUUUUUCUCAUUUGUUUUGUGUUUUUUCUCAUUCUUCUUUCACUUCUGAGCUUGUUAAAGCAGGUUUGGCAUUAGCACUCUUUGGAGGAAGCCAGAAAUACGCAGAUGACAAAAACAGAAUUCCGAUUCGAGGAGACCCACACAUCCUUGUUGUUGGAGACCCAGGCUUGGGAAAGAGUCAGAUGCUACAGGCAGCGUGCAGUGUUGCUCCACGUGGCGUGUAUGUUUGUGGUAAUACCACAACCACCUCUGGUUUGACUGUAACUCUUUCAAAAGAUAGUUCCUCUGGAGAUUUCGCUUUGGAAGCUGGUGCCCUGGUACUUGGCGAUCAAGGUAUCUGUGGAAUAGAUGAAUUUGAUAAGAUGGGGAAUCAACAUCAAGCUUUGUUAGAAGCCAUGGAACAGCAAAGCAUUAGUCUUGCUAAGGCUGGCAUGGUUUGUAGCCUCCCUGCAAGAACUUCCAUUAUUGCUGCUGCAAAUCCAGUUGGAGGACACUACAAUAAAGCCAAAACAGUUUCUGAGAAUUUAAAAAUGGGGAGUGCUCUGCUAUCCAGAUUUGAUUUGGUCUUUAUCCUGUUAGACACCCCAAAUGAGGAUCAUGAUCAUUUACUCUCUGAACAUGUGAUUGCAAUAAGGGCUGGAAAACAGAGAGCUGUUAGCAGUGCCACAGUAACUCGUAUGAAUAGUCAGGAUUCAAAUACUUCUAUACUGGAAGUGGUUUCUGAUAAACCACUAUCAGAAAGACUAAAGGUGGUUCCUGGAGAAGAAAUAGAUCCAAUUCCCCACCAACUAUUGAGAAAAUACAUUGGUUAUGCUCGGCAGUAUGUCUACCCAAGGCUAUCCACAGACGCUGCCCAGAUUCUUCAGGAUUUUUAUCUUGAGCUCCGGAAACAGAGCCAGCGGUUAAAUAGCUCACCAAUCACAACUAGGCAGCUGGAAUCUUUGAUUCGUCUAACAGAGGCACGAGCAGGUUGGAAUUAAGAGAGGAAGCAACCAAAGAAGAUGCUGAGGACAUAGUUGAAAUUAUGAAAUAUAGCAUGCUAGGAACUUACUCUGAUGAAUUUGGGAACCUGGAUUUUGAACGAUCUCAGCAUGGUUCUGGAAUGAGCAAUAGGUCAACAGCAAAAAGGUUUAUUUCUGCUCUCAACAACAUUGCUGAAAAAACUUACAAUAAUUUAUUUCAAUUUCAACAACUUCGGCAGAUUGCCAAAGAGCUAAACAUUCAGGUUGCUGAUUUUGAAAAUUUUAUUGGAUCGCUAAAUGACCAAGGUUAUCUCCUUAAAAAAGGCCCAAAGGUUUACCAGCUUCAAACUAUGUAAAAGGAUUACCAAGCCAGACCCUCCCAAGUUGCUUAAGAAGAAUAUGAAAAAUACAAACAAAAAAAACAAAACUGUUCUCUGAAAAAUGACAUCACAAAUGUAAUAUAAUAAGAAAAGAGUAUUUAAGUGAUAAAGUGUUAAUUUUUUUAUUUCUUCAAAAGGCUAAAAAUAAAUUGUUUAUAUUUCUUCUCUAAA
Sus scrofa (pig) is the source of this 3762-nucleotide non-coding RNA. The record is from RefSeq and is a predicted model, not a curated record. NCBI's taxonomy places the organism in Eukaryota, Metazoa, Chordata, Mammalia, Artiodactyla, Suidae.